Photinus pyralis (common eastern firefly) is the source of this 500-nucleotide long non-coding RNA. RefSeq lists it as uncharacterized. The transcript has 3 exons. NCBI's taxonomy places the organism in Eukaryota, Metazoa, Arthropoda, Insecta, Coleoptera, Lampyridae. The record is from RefSeq and is a predicted model, not a curated record.
UUGUGGGAUCAGAUAAUCAAUAAUAUUCAGGAUGCCGAACAAGAACAACAAUUGGAAAGAGAAACCUUCAUUAGAAAAAAUCCAUUCUUGCUGUCUGACCAAAAAUUUGUGAAGUUGUUCAGGUUAACGAAACCAUUGAUGCGAGAUGUAAUAGAGACAUUAACUCCUCAUUUACAACAGCCUACUCGUAGGUCUGCUUUAAGUGUAGAAACAAAGGUACUAGCAACAGUACGAUUUCUGGCUACGGGCAGUUAUCAGGAACUAACAGGGUCAAGUGAAUAUGUUGGUAUCAGUCAAGCCAGCAUGAGUAGGUGCAUUUCUGAAGUUUGCGAAGCCCUAAAUGCACCAGAGGUAUUUAAUGCAUGGGUACAUUUUCCUCGAAAUCUGGCAGACUUUGAAAGUUUAAGGCGCAGGUUUUAUGACAAAUAUCAUUUCCCAGGUGUAAUCGGCUGCAUCGAUUGCACCCACAUUGCAAUAAUUGCCCCUUUCGUAGAAGAUGC